GACGAACGCUGGCGGCGUGCCUAAUACAUGCAAGUAGAACGCUGAAGGAGGAGCUUGCUUCUCCGGAUGAGUUGCGAACGGGUGAGUAACGCGUAGGUAACCUGCCUGGUAGCGGGGGAUAACUAUUGGAAACGAUAGCUAAUACCGCAUAACAGUAGAUAUUGCAUGAUAUCUGCUUGAAAGGUGCAAUUGCAUCACUACCAGAUGGACCUGCGUUGUAUUAGCUAGUUGGUGAGGUAACGGCUCACCAAGGCAACGAUACAUAGCCGACCUGAGAGGGUGAUCGGCCACACUGGGACUGAGACACGGCCCAGACUCCUACGGGAGGCAGCAGUAGGGAAUCUUCGGCAAUGGACGGAAGUCUGACCGAGCAACGCCGCGUGAGUGAAGAAGGUUUUCGGAUCGUAAAGCUCUGUUGUAAGAGAAGAACGAGUGUGAGAGUGGAAAGUUUACACUGUGACGGUAUCUUACCAGAAAGGGACGGCUAACUACGUGCCAGCAGCCGCGGUAAUACGUAGGUCCCGAGCGUUGUCCGGAUUUAUUGGGCGUAAAGCGAGCGCAGGCGGUUAGAUAAGUCUGAAGUUAAAGGCUGUGGCUUAACCAUAGUACGCUUUGGAAACUGUUUAACUUGAGUGCAAGAGGGGAGAGUGGAAUUCCAUGUGUAGCGGUGAAAUGCGUAGAUAUAUGGAGGAACACCGGUGGCGAAAGCGGCUCUCUGGCUUGUAACUGACGCUGAGGCUCGAAAGCGUGGGGAGCAAACAGG
RNAcentral lists this ribosomal RNA (763 nucleotides) under uncultured Streptococcus sp. RNAcentral's name for it is "bacterial SSU rRNA". It matches the Rfam family "Bacterial small subunit ribosomal RNA", at positions 28 to 776 of the family's 1533-position model. Lineage: Bacteria; Bacillati; Bacillota; Bacilli; Lactobacillales; Streptococcaceae. The record is from RNAcentral.